AGAGUUUGAUCCUGGCUCAGAAUCAACGCUGGCGGCGUGCCUAACACAUGCAAGUCGCACGAGAAAGGGACUUCGGUCCUGAGUACAGUGGCGCACGGGUGAGUAACACGUGAAUUAUCUACCUUCGAGUGGGGAAUAACUGGGAGAAAUCUCAGCUAAUACCGCAUAAUACCUACGGGUCAAAGCAGCAAUGCGCUUGAAGAGGAGUUCGCGGCAGAUUAGUUAGUUGGCGGGGUAAUGGCCCACCAAGACGAUGAUCUGUAUCCGGCCUGAGAGGGCGCACGGACACACUGGAACUGAAACACGGUCCAGACUCCUACGGGAGGCAGCAGUGGGGAAUUUUGCGCAAUGGGGGAAACCCUGACGCAGCAACGCCGCGUGGAGGAUGAAAUCCCUUGGGAUGUAAACUCCUUUCGAUUGGGAAGAUUAUGACGGUACCAAUAGAAGAAGCCCCGGCUAACUUCGUGCCAGCAGCCGCGGUAAUACGAGGGGGGCAAGCGUUGUUCGGAAUUAUUGGGCGUAAAGGGCGCGUAGGCGGUUUGACAAGUCUGAUGUGAAAUCUAUGGGCUCAACCCAUAGUCUGCAUUAGAAACUGUCGGGCUUGAGUAUGGGAGAGGUGAGUGGAAUUUCCGGUGUAGCGGUGAAAUGCGUAGAUAUCGGAAGGAACACCUGUGGCGAAAGCGGCUCACUGGACCAUAACUGACGCUGAGGCGCGAAAGCUAGGGGAGCAAACAGGAUUAGAUACCCUGGUAGUCC
Molecule: ribosomal RNA, 756 nt
Filed under: uncultured bacterium
Lineage: Bacteria
Description: bacterial SSU rRNA
Rfam family: Bacterial small subunit ribosomal RNA
Source: RNAcentral